RNAcentral lists this transfer RNA (64 nucleotides) under Empoasca flavescens. RNAcentral describes it as "tRNA-Pro". RNAcentral also lists the same sequence under 2 other names. Lineage: Eukaryota; Metazoa; Arthropoda; Insecta; Hemiptera; Cicadellidae. The record is from RNAcentral.
CAACAAAUAGUUUAUUAAAAUUUAAUUUUUGGGUAUUUAAGAUGUAAAUUAUUUACUUUGUUGA